Molecule: long non-coding RNA, 2291 nt
Organism: Bubalus bubalis (water buffalo)
Lineage: Eukaryota; Metazoa; Chordata; Mammalia; Artiodactyla; Bovidae
Exons: 3
Source: RefSeq, a predicted model, not a curated record
CUACCAUGGGCUUCUGACUAAGAUACCUGCCUCUCAGCCUCCGUGUGCCCCCAACAUGAGGGCUGCCUCCCAGGGCUGACCCGACACGCUGUGAUAGCCCGCACUUCCAUUUCUGGAUUAGCAUUGAUUAGGUUAAUUAAUUAGCAUUAAGUCAGAACUACAGACCCAGAAAGAAAUGGCCAGAGGGUGUGGGACCGCACAGCUAGGAUAACCAUUCCACAGACCCCCAAAUCCAUAAGACCCUGCUGGUCCGCCCCACCCCCUGCCUUCCCCUUGCUCACCAGGUCGCCCCACCCGGUAUCCUGGGUGCCCCAGCCAGCGCAUGCAGACCAGGCUCAGUUGGGAGCCUUAGUCAGCCCUAAAUCUCCCUCACCUGUCACCUCCCAGGGCCAGUCACGUGCUCAGCGAGGCCUUUUCAGACUGACUUCUAACCCCACUGGGUCACCUGUCAUCCCAGAGCCCAGCGCCCUUCUCCAGGCAUUUUCCUAGUUUUAUUUCUGGAAUAAGCACUCGAAUGCGACAGACUUCCACUAAAGAAGAAUUUCUCUGUUUCCUAAUUUACACCCAGCGCUGGAGCUGGGCCCAGCCUUCUUCAGCAGCACCAGAGCUCUACGGUGACCAGAAGCCAGGCCCUGGGUCUGAGGCUGGGGAUUGUCCCUGGAGGACGACGACCCCAUCUGGUCACGUCCAUCGCUGUGUUCUGGUCAGUCUGGGUCUGCCCCGGGCCCAGGUGCCCCUUAUUGAGGAGAAUCUUUUCCUCCUUCAGGCAGCUUCGUCUCAUAGGACUCAGACCAUCAGGGAAUGUGAGCUCUUUGCUGUGGCCAGGCUCAGAGAAGACCCUCCAGGGACCUUCCAGGCAGCCAAGCCGCAGUGGGGUCGCAGGUGCCCUGGCUGUUUUAAGGACUCAGAGUCAGAAGAGAGCACUGACCACUUCUGGCUCCAGCAGGAGGGGCUCCAGGCGUCCCUCGGGUGGUGGCCGCCUCCCUCCAGGCUCUGCCUCCAUCAUUACAUGUCAUCUCCUCUGUGUAUGCGCCUCAGAUAUAAGGACACUGCUCAUCGGACCACCCUAACCUCAGUUUGGAACUCAUCUAAAUUCAGCUGACUAUCUGCAGAGACCCUGUUUCCAAGUCAGAUCACACCGGUGUUUCCGGGUAGAGGUUUCUCCAAUGGGGAGGAAUCUCCCAUCCGGCAGGAGGAUUAUGUGGGCGCCACCAUUCAGAUGAGCUGGCAGACGGCUGUCACCUCCCAAGAUCGGGCCUGUGUGUGGGUGUCCCUGAGUCUCUGCGGAGAGACAGUGGCCUCAGGACAUCUCUGUCAGCCUGGACACUGGGCACGCUUUGUUUCCUCGCUGUGGGCCACGUGGCCGGGAGAGGAGCCGCUGGUCAGAGGCGGACGGCGGCUGGGGAGAAGCAGCAAAAAUGUCCCGGGGGGCCUGGGGGAUGGAGGAGGGGCUGCACAGGGGAGGCAGGAGGGGUCCCCGCCAAACACAGGCCUGGGCCUCAGGGUCCCCUCCUCGCCUGGUUGUGUCCAUUCCUUAUGUCCUCUGGGGGCCAGAGCAAUUGGCUGAGCAUGAUGGCCCUUGCCCUGGGGGGCUUGGGGGAGCCCACUGCGCUGAGCUUCUCGUCAGUCUCAGGCCAUAAGCCACCUCUGUCUCUUCUCUCCCUGAGUUUCUUUCUUUUCAAAAAUGUGUUUUUAAAAAACUUUUAAAUCGAGCUGUAGGGAGUUCCCUGGUGGCCUAGUUGUUAGGACUGAGUGUUUUCACUGCACUGGCCCAGGUUCCAUCCCUGGUUGAAAAACGGAUGUCCUGCAAGCUGUGCAGCGCAGCAAAAAAAAAAAAAAAAAAAAGGAAUAACUCGUGUAAUGUAAAAUCAGUCAUUUAAAAAUUACCCCUCAGUGGCAUUCAGUACCUUCACAGUGUUGUACAACCAGCAGCUCUGUGUAGUCGCAGAACGUUUCCGUCACCCCAGCAGGAGCCCCUGCAGCCACUGGUGGUCACCCCGCAUCCUCCGUCCCAGUCCCUGCACUGUCGCUCUGGACUUGCCGCUUCUGGACGUUUCACACGUGCGGAACUGAGAGAGUCAAUUCCUACACAGGUUGAUAAGAAGCCCGGGAUCCCCGAGGAGGAGAAAGGGGUCUGGGGCUUUCAGGGAGAAAGAGGUCUGCAAUCCUCAAGGAGGAGGAAAGGACAAACAUCUUUUUUUUUUCUCUCUACAUUCCUUAGUCUUAGUCAAAAACGUUUUUUUCUUUAAGCGGGAACCAGUGAUUACACAACAAACAACUCAGUUUAAACU